AUUCUAAUAGCUUAUUAAGAGCAUGAUAGUGAAGUUAUCAAGGAGAUUUUUGUCUUAGAAUA
RNAcentral lists this transfer RNA (62 nucleotides) under Wittmerselasia variabilis. Its description in RNAcentral is "tRNA-Phe". Lineage: Eukaryota; Metazoa; Arthropoda; Insecta; Coleoptera; Elateridae. The record is from RNAcentral.